GAUGAAGAACGUAGCGAAAUGCGAUACGUAAUGUGAAUUGCAGAAUUCAGUGAAUCAUCGAAUCUUUGAACGCAUAUUGCGCUCUCUGGUAUUCCGGAGAGCAUGCUUGUUUGAGUAUCAGUAAACACCUCAACUUCCAUAUCUUUUUUGAAAUGGGAGUUGGACUUGAGUGAUCCCAACGCUUUUCCUCACCGAAAAGUGGCGGGUUACUUGAAAUGCAGGUGCAGCUGGACUUUUCUCUGAGCUAUAAGCAUAUCUAUUUAGUCUGCCUAAAAAACAGAUUAUUACCUUUGCUGCAGCGAACAUAAAGGAGAUUAGUUCUUGUGCUGACUGAUGCAGGAUUCACAAAGACAGGCUUCGGCCGACUUUGUAAACUCGAUCUCAAAUCAAGUAAGACUACCCGCUGAACUUAAGCAUAUCAAUAAGCGGAGGA
Molecule: unclassified non-coding RNA, 433 nt
Filed under: soil metagenome
Description: partial contains 5.8S ribosomal RNA, internal transcribed spacer 2, and large subunit ribosomal RNA
Rfam family: 5.8S ribosomal RNA (bases 1-120)
Source: RNAcentral